This is a long non-coding RNA of Nomascus leucogenys (northern white-cheeked gibbon), 91 nucleotides long. RefSeq lists it as uncharacterized. The transcript has 3 exons. The record is from RefSeq and is a predicted model, not a curated record. NCBI's taxonomy places the organism in Eukaryota, Metazoa, Chordata, Mammalia, Primates, Hylobatidae.
GUGGCCAUAUUAAGAAAAAACCAAACUGAUCUUCUAGAGCUGAAAAACUCUCUACAAGAAUUUCAUAAUAUGAUCAGAAGUAUUAACAGCA